CCCAUCCCCCCACCACCACCACCCCGCCUCCUGAUACCAAGAGCACUCUGUUAAGGGUCAGAGAAGAUGAAUCAUUUACAGUUUGUGAGGCAAGACGGUGGCCAACUCCCAAGCAUCUGGACCCAUCCGAAGAUACGAAGCAGACGAAAGAAUGAACGGACAUACUGAGAAAAGAGGCUUGGAAACGCACGGUGGGCGUCCGUCUAGGCUGCCACUCACUGAAUAUCCACAGGGACACCUCACUCCAGGUGCAGGGUCCAGGAAGACUUCAGAUUGCUGCGACUCAGCAGCCUAGGGUCAUGAGGUGUUUUAACAGCCUGCUGUAUACAUGUCUCCGAGGUGAAGGCUGGGUCCCCAGUGAAGACUGGACUACGACAAACCACGAAGAGGGUGCUGCAGAUGGCCAAGGACAUGACCGCUCCAUAACACCAACUUCUGCAAGUGGGGUGGGGGAUGGGAAACAGCGGCAGAUGCACAAGGGCAAAGGUGAUGUGAGGAGGGAACCCCCAGAAACCCUAGGGAAACCACCGGAAUUUCCUUUGGAUGUGGGAAGGGGCUCAAACAACGUUUAAUUUUUAAAUUUAA
This is a long non-coding RNA of Peromyscus leucopus (white-footed mouse), 585 nucleotides long. RefSeq lists it as uncharacterized. The record is from RefSeq and is a predicted model, not a curated record. The transcript has 2 exons. Lineage: Eukaryota; Metazoa; Chordata; Mammalia; Rodentia; Cricetidae.